UCAUUUGCUACAGAGCACUGAGCAAGAAGGUCAGCUCGUGCCGAGCACACAACUUGCUCCUUUCAUGCUCACUCAGCCAGAAAUGAAAAUGUUAGAGUUAGAAGCACCCGUGGAAAUCACUCCUCAUGGAAGAGAAGAGGAAAUCCAAGCCCCAAGACCUUCAGCAAGUAGCUCAAGCUCACAGAGCUGGCUACAGUCACGUCAGGAGACUUGGCCUCUGAAAACAGAGCUCUCUGUAUGGCACUUUAAGUAGGGGACUCUCUCUGCCUUGUGUAGGCACAACAUGUAACGUGCUUUGAGAUGUAACAGUAAAAGAGGGCACUGAGACAUUAUGUUCAUCAAAAGGGAGUCUGGCUUAAAUAAAAAGAUUGGGAAAUAACCGUUCUGGAAUUCACAGCGUAUCACAGCUUUGGAAAUCAUCUGGUCCAACAUCCCAUGUAAAUUAAAGAUAAGGAAACUUCCA
This is a long non-coding RNA of Neofelis nebulosa (Clouded leopard), 463 nucleotides long. RefSeq lists it as uncharacterized. NCBI's taxonomy places the organism in Eukaryota, Metazoa, Chordata, Mammalia, Carnivora, Felidae. The record is from RefSeq and is a predicted model, not a curated record. The transcript has 2 exons.